CAAUAAAACAAAUGCUUUUGUUUUAAAGAUGAUAUUUGCUAUUCAUAAGCCCCACACACUAUACACCACAAUUUUUUCUUUUGGUUUUAUUCUUCUUAAAACAAUUGAAUUCUUUUACUCAGUAUCCAUAUACCACACAUUUGAUAAGAAAAAAAAAUUAAAAAAAUAAUAAAAAAAGUGA
Molecule: long non-coding RNA, 181 nt
Organism: Juglans microcarpa x Juglans regia
Lineage: Eukaryota; Viridiplantae; Streptophyta; Magnoliopsida; Fagales; Juglandaceae
Exons: 3
Source: RefSeq, a predicted model, not a curated record